ACUAUUGAGAGUUUGAUCCUGGCUCAGGAUGAACGCUGGCGGCAUGCCUAAUACAUGCAAGUCAAACGGGUGUAGCAAUA
Molecule: ribosomal RNA, 80 nt
Filed under: Acholeplasmataceae bacterium
Lineage: Bacteria; Bacillati; Mycoplasmatota; Mollicutes; Acholeplasmatales; Acholeplasmataceae
Description: partial 16S ribosomal RNA
Rfam family: Bacterial small subunit ribosomal RNA
Source: RNAcentral